Molecule: ribosomal RNA, 471 nt
Filed under: uncultured crenarchaeote
Lineage: Archaea; Thermoproteati; Thermoproteota
Description: bacterial SSU rRNA
Rfam family: Archaeal small subunit ribosomal RNA
Source: RNAcentral
UUCCGGUUGAUCCUGCCGGACCCGACUGCUAUCAGAGUGGGACUAAGCCAUGCGAGUCAACGCAGCAAUGCGUGGCAUACGGCUCAGUAACACGUAGUCAACAUGCCCAGGGGACGUGGAUAACCUCGGGAAACUGAGGAUAAACCGCGAUAGGCCAAGAUUUCUGGAAUGGAUCAUGGCUGAAACCUACAUGGCCCCUGGAUUGGACUGCGGCCGAUCAGGCUGUUGGUGAGGUAAUGGCCCACCAAACCUGUAACCGGUACGGGCUCUGAGAGGAGGAGCCCGGAGAUGGGCACUGAGACAAGGGCCCAGGCCCUAUGGGGCGCAGCAGGCGCGAAACCUCUGCAAUAGGCGAAAGCUUGACAGGGUUACUCUGAGUGAUGCCCGUUAAGGGCAUCUUUUGGCACUUCUAAAAAUAGUGUAGAAUAAGGGGUGGGCAAGUCUGGUGUCAGCCGCCGCGGUAAAACCAGC